UGAAGUUUUAUUUUUUAAGUCUGUGUUGUGCUUUGUCAUCUCCAAUGGCAACGCCUUGCAUCACAAUGAUGAUGUCAUAAAGGAUAUUGUGCACAUAAUGAUAGGAACAGCAGAAAUGUGAUUGAUUUGAACUUGGUCGCGUUUCCAGUAGCCAACUUUUUACUAGUAAUUCAGAUAGGCCUAUUGCGUAAUCAUCUCUGGAUCAGGAUUGUCACUUGCUUCAUUGUAAGUAAAUGGGAAGAAAAUGUGUGCACAUUGUAAAGAGAUGCAUUAUUCUUUGGUGAGCAACACGCCACUUACUACAACGUUAUGUAUUUUUCAGAGUUAUUGUUAGCUAGGAGGAAGACAUGGAGGGUUCAACGCUGACACAGAGGAGGGCUGAGUGUCAGUUGAAGGAAAGGGAGAUCCAGACAGACUACAUGAUGGAGCUGGGAGCCAGGUUGGCUCUGGUGAGACAGAUCCAGAGGGAGCAGGAGAAGGAGAUGAAGAGGAUUUGGUUUGAGACGAGGAAAAUGCCAAGCCUGAUUGAGGAGAAUGUGAGAGAUGUGACCAACCGUCCACUCGCUGAGUUCAUGGCUCCCUGUAUUGACUCCCUCCCCCCUCUGGCUUUCACCAAUCGGAGGCCUAUACCAACCAUGUUACAUCCCCCCUCUCCAUUGGCCAUACGCGCUCAGGAUGCACAGCGGUUCAUUGUAUUUUCAUACUUUGUCCCUGCUGAGUGCCCAGUUGCCACAGAGGCCACAGCAGAUGUAUCUACUGGUAAAAGAGAGGACUUAUUGACAGAUACACAUCUUCCCUCAAUGCUGCAUCGAUACCUGCCACACUUCUUCAACGAUGACUCCAUUCCACCACAGCAGACAGUAGAGGGAACCACUGAGCUCUCAGUUGCUCCAGUGGCAAUAUCUAAUAUAAAGGAAGAGGACAGAUUCUAUCCUUUCUCCCUCCCACCACUGGCUCAGCGGUUCGUUGGCAAUUCAUUCAUUGUCCCAGAAACCUCCCAGCCUGCUGUUUCAGCCACAGAGUGCCGAGUUGCCAAAGAGGCCACUGCAGACACAGCCACUGUCAAGAGAGAGAACCGAUGGGCAACCAGAAGUCUUCCUUCAGUGCUGCCUCCAUGCCUGCCACCAGUCUUUGACGAUGACUUCAAGCCUACAGAGCAGACUGUAGAGGAUGCCUAUGAGGUCUCAGGUGCUACAGAGAACACUUCAGGCACAGCUACUGUUGAUGGAGUGGACAGAUCAACAGCUAAAUGCCCUGUCCCAAUGCUGCCUCCAAGUCUGCCACCUGUCUUUGACAAUGACUACAAACUGCCAGAGGAGGCAGUAGAGGGAACCAACAAGUGUCCAGUCGCCAGUGAAUCUGCCGCUUCCGUGUCUGCUGUCCUCCAAGAGGAGUUUUCAGCUGAUAAGAGUCUUCCUGCACCCGCAGCACUGCCUCUAAGGCUGCCCUGCACCCACAGCAUUGACCACAAACAGCUAUGGGAGAAAGUUGAGGACAACGCAGAGUUCUCAGUAGACAAAGAAGCAACUGUUGCCAUUUACACUUGGGAAGAUAAAAGUCCUUCAGUUCUGCCAAGCAUCCACAACAACAACGACCACCAACUGCCAGAGGAGACAGCUGAGGACAACACAGAGUGCUCAGUUGACACCGAGGCAAGUGCAGUUGCAUCCACUGUUAAGAGAGAGGAACUGACUUGUGAUAAAAGCCCUGUCCGAGCAAUUCCUCCAAUCCUGGGAUGCAUCCAUGACAAGGACCACAAGGAGGAGGUGAGACAGAGGGAGGGAUUGAAGCGUGAGGCGGACUGUGCCCAUUCCAAGAGCUCCAAUGGGAUGGCUUCAUCAGAGAGAGCAGAGACCAUCCUUGGAAGAGUGGGCUUUCUGGUCAUGAACCACAUGCAGAAAAUCCCAUUUUUGAAGAUGAAGGAAAAAGAGAAAAAUAAGAAACUGCAUAAGAAGUUGAAAGAUGACGAGAAAGAGAGAAAGGAGAAGAAAAACAAGGAGGAGGAGAACAAAAAGAGGGAGAAGAAAGAGAUGAAUGAGAGAGAGAAAGAGCAGAAGAAAGUCAUGAAGGCUGAGAAAAAGAGGAAGAAGUUUGAACAUAAAAAGAGAGAGAAGGAAAGAAAAGAGAAGGAAAAGGCAGAGAAAAAGAGGUUAGAGGGGCUGAUGAAGAAACAGAAUGACAUGAUGAAAGACAGGAUUAAGAAAGAGAAGAAGUGUUCUGAGGAGCUGAAAAAGAGAGAGAAAGCUCAAGCUGAGUUCUUGGAGAUGGAGAGAAAGAUUCAAGAAAAGGAGGAGAAGAAGAGAGAAAAGAUGAAGAAAGAGGAGAGGAAGAGACUAGAGAAGAAGAAAAAGAGGGAGCCUGCUGGAGGUGGAACUGAGAGGGUGAUAGAAGAGCAGGGAAAGGAUGAAAGCUUGAAGAUGGAUGAGUAGACUGGGUAUUAGAGAGAGAGAGCAGGGAGGGAUACUGUAUUUUUGCAUGCAAUGAAAAAGGAAUUUAAAAAAUCAAUAAAAAGGUUUACUCUCUGUUUGAUUUUUGUCAAGGCAUACUGUAUAACACAGUUUAAACACACACUGUUGACAUUUAACAAAUCUGGGGAGUGUUGCACUGUUAAAAUGUUGAAUUCCAAAUAUACCCGAUGGAGUGGAGCUGUGCUGAGAUGAGGAGGACGGAAAGGGAGGGGGAGUGGAAGGAGGAUAGAGAUGAAUAUGAUAGAGAGGAAUAUAAUAGAGAGGAAUAUGAUAGAGAGGAAUAUGAUAGAGGGGAAUAUGAUAGAGGAAUAUGAUAUAGGGGAAUAUAAUAGUAGUGAAUAUGAUAGAGAGGAAUAUAAUAGAGAGGAAUAUGAUAGAGAGGAAUAUGAUAGAGAGGAAUAUGAUAGAGAGGAAUAUGAUAGAGAGGAAUAUGAUAGAGGGGAAUAUGAUAUAGAGGUAUAUGAUAGAGAGGUAUAUGAUGAAGGGAAAUAUGAUAAAGGGAAGAUGAUAGAGGGAAGAUGAUAUCUUCUCCCCUGUCUGUUGAGGGCGCCAAGCUCCCCAGCAUUGAUCGCUUCUGUCAUCAUCAUUACGCACACCUGCCUUCCCCCAUCUUGCGGGUCAGCGAUUAUUGUUCUCACCUGGACUCAAUCACCUCUGUCAUUACCUUUCACACUUCUGUAUCUGUCGGGUUCCCCUCUCUGUUCCCUGUUUCUGCAUUGAAAGUCAUCUGUCCUUGUUUACCAGUGUGCUGAAGCUGUUCCUGUCUUGUUCUAUGUCUGUUCACAAUUAAAUAUUUGACUCCCCGUACCUGCAUCUCAUCUCUGG
Long non-coding RNA from Oncorhynchus kisutch (coho salmon), 3293 nucleotides. The record is from Ensembl. Lineage: Eukaryota; Metazoa; Chordata; Actinopteri; Salmoniformes; Salmonidae.